UACGGGGGGGGUAAGCGUUGUUCGGAAUUACUGGGCGUAAAGGGCUCGUAGGCGGCCAACUAAGUCAUACGUGAAAUCCCUCAGCUUAACCGGGGAACUGCGUCUGAUACUGGAUGGCUUGAGUGUGGGAGAGGGAUGCGGAAUUCCAGGUGUAGCGGUGAAAUGCGUAGAUAUCUGGAGGAACACCGGUGGCGAAGGCGGCAUCCUGGACCACGACUGACGCUGAGUGAGCGAAAGCCAGGGGAGCAAACGGG
RNAcentral lists this ribosomal RNA (254 nucleotides) under uncultured bacterium. RNAcentral's name for it is "partial 16S ribosomal RNA". It matches the Rfam family "Bacterial small subunit ribosomal RNA", at positions 524 to 776 of the family's 1533-position model. The record is from RNAcentral.